UACGAAGGGGGCUAGCGUUGUUCGGAAUUACUGGGCGUAAAGCGCACGUAGGCGGCUCUUUAAGUCGGGGGUGAAAUCCUGGAGCUCAACUCCAGAACUGCCUUCGAUACUGAAGAGCUUGAGUCCGGGAGAGGUGAGUGGAACUGCGAGUGUAGAGGUGAAAUUCGUAGAUAUUCGCAAGAACACCAGUGGCGAAGGCGGCUCACUGGCCCGGUACUGACGCUGAGGUGCGAAAGCGUGGGGAGCAAACAGG
RNAcentral lists this ribosomal RNA (253 nucleotides) under uncultured bacterium. Its description in RNAcentral is "partial 16S ribosomal RNA". It matches the Rfam family "Bacterial small subunit ribosomal RNA", at positions 524 to 776 of the family's 1533-position model. The record is from RNAcentral.